Camelina sativa (false flax) is the source of this 571-nucleotide non-coding RNA. Lineage: Eukaryota; Viridiplantae; Streptophyta; Magnoliopsida; Brassicales; Brassicaceae. The record is from RefSeq and is a predicted model, not a curated record.
ACACACACAAAACAACAAUCCAUUUGUUUUACAUAGGGAUGUUAAAAAUGGGUUUUACCCAGUUGGGUACCCGAAACCAGGAUAGAAUGGGCAGGACCCGUUUACACAAAAUUUUACACGGGUUUUAAAUGGGCAGGACCCAUUUACACAAACUCUUACACGGAUUUACCCUUCUGGAUGAUGGGUACCCAUCGGGUUUUUUCUUACUUCAUGUCAGUUAAUCAUAAGCCGACAAAUCAGGGUUUUUGAUUCUCAUCAUCAAUCGUUUGACCUUUGAUCUGGGUUCUAAAAUUCUUAUUUUGUGGGCUGCCCUCUGUUUAUCAUGCUUAUUGAAGAUGCUUGAGUUCGUCUCAUGAAGUUGGACUGUGGUGAAAAACACGAAAGAGGCAAUUUUAAUUUCGAGGUGGCUAUAAUUUUCUUAUUGCACAUAUUUGUUAAAGAUUAGUUUGAGUGGGGGAGGAGAAGACACCAAGUUACGAUUUGUCUCUUUGUUUCUUACUUUCUUUUAUUGUUUUUAUUUUUCUAUGUUGACGGUGUUCAAUUGUUCAUGGUGGCUUUGGUUUAAUAUCUA